GAUGAAGAACGUAGCGAAAUGCGAUAAGUAAUGUGAAUUGCAGAAUUCAGUGAAUCAUCGAAUCUUUGAACGCACAUUGCGCCCGCCAGUAUUCUGGCGGGCAUGCCUGUCUGAGCGUCAUUUCAACCCUCAUGCCCCUAGGGCGUGGUGUUGGGGAUCGGCCAAAGCCCGCGAGGGACGGCCGGCCCCUAAAUCUAGUGGCGGACCCGUCGUGGCCUCCUCUGCGAAGUAGUGAUAUUCCGCAUCGGAGAGCGACGAGCCCCUGCCGUUAAACCCCCAACUUUCCAAGGUUGACCUCAGAUCAGGCAGGAAUACCCGCUGAACUUAAGCAUAUCAAUAAGCGGAGGA
RNAcentral lists this unclassified non-coding RNA (348 nucleotides) under soil metagenome. RNAcentral's name for it is "partial contains 5.8S ribosomal RNA, internal transcribed spacer 2, and large subunit ribosomal RNA". The stretch from base 1 to 120 matches the Rfam family "5.8S ribosomal RNA", at positions 35 to 154 of the family's 154-position model. The record is from RNAcentral.